AUGAGCCUGGAACGGAGAACAUGUUCUAUAAACAUGAGCCGAUGCUGUUACUAUUCCCAGGGCAACUUCCCAAUUAAAUACAACCCCUCAGCUUGUUUCUGCAGCCAACCUGGGUUUGCCCAAGGGCCCUUCUCCAGCCCAAUCUGGAAUGCCCUCAGCCCAUUUAAAACCAAUCUCCCGGUAAGCCCAGUCUCCACCAAAGGACCUCCCCUAGGACGUCCACCACUCCUAGACAUGGGGAUCUGUGCCAGGACAGGACUGCUUUUUUCUGAGCCCCACAGGGCCGUGUGCCUCCCCCAAGGAAUUUACACAUUCCACCUGGCAUUCCAGCUAUUUGUUUUCUCCUGCCUCCCCUCUCUGGGUGGUUUCUGGCCUCCUCCCUACUCCCCCUUGCCCAAGCUCUGUCUCUUCAGAGCUUUCUGUACCCUCCUCCCACCUUUACUUAGUCAAGUCCUACUCCUGUUUAAGACGAAGCUCAGGGUCCCCCAGACCCAACAGCACCCGGUGCAGGCUGGUGGACUUCAUGAUACCAGGGCCAAGAGGAAGAAGGAGAGCAGGACAGGGUGGGGGAGACUACAGUGGAGCCAGGGGAGGAAAAAGGACCAGGAAGGAAGGAAGAAGGAGCUCUGGGGGAUGGCUCUUCCCCAUUACCUUCCCCUCGCCUCUGCAGGGGCGGGGCAGUGUGGCCCACGGGAUUCCAUUCCUUUGGGCAUAGAAUGCCCUUGCUCACCAUCUUCACCCAAGAACCCUCAAAAGUCACUUCCCCCACUCAUCACUCUUCCCUCGAGGAACCUCAGCACGCUUGGCCACCUCAUCCUAGGGUAUUUACCACAUACUACCAUUUGUGGUCCUGGGACUCCUCCCCACUUCCCUAUAUCCUUACUCCCAGUAUCAGCACGUUUGCCUCCUGUCUGCCUGUGCAGGGACCAUGCGAGGGGAAACGCACAACCACGCGUGCUUCUGCACAACCCACUCCCAGGCUUAGUGCCAGGCCCGCACAUCUAUUAUUUCAUGUGA
Molecule: long non-coding RNA, 1017 nt
Filed under: Callithrix jacchus (white-tufted-ear marmoset)
Lineage: Eukaryota; Metazoa; Chordata; Mammalia; Primates; Cebidae
Description: lncRNA (ENSCJAG00000078581.1)
Source: RNAcentral